This is a regulatory RNA element of 303 nucleotides. It matches the Rfam family "Alphacoronavirus 5'UTR". From Rfam's summary of the family: The 5' UTR has been predicted to contain 3 conserved stem-loops: SL1, SL2 and SL4. The 3 terminal loops of SL5 contain a conserved sequence 5'-UUCCGU-3' and are thought to act as the packaging signal. The record is from Rfam.
ACUUUUAAAGAUAAGUGAGUGUAGCGUAGCUGCCUACUUUCUUUAACUUGACUCUAAGUCAAAUCUACUCAACUAAACGAAAUUUUGUUGUUUCCCAUUUAAUGGGAGCAACAUCUUUGGUAAUUUCGUUUCAUUCAUAGCUUGUUGUCCAUAUUGAGUCUAGGAGUUUGGCUAGCUGUGUGGGUUCCGUCUCACAUAGUAGGUGUGUUGGCUAGUUCCGUCUAGUCUUCACGUGGAUCUCAGUUCCGUCUGGGUGAAACCUAACCCCCCUCACUAUGGUGUUCAAGCAUUUUAGGAUCCUCG